GCCAGCAUGUUGUAGUGGUUUAAACAUUAGACUAUGACUCUGGAGGCCAGGGUUCUAAACCAGGGGUAGGCA
Phrynosoma platyrhinos (Desert horned lizard) is the source of this 72-nucleotide non-coding RNA. Lineage: Eukaryota; Metazoa; Chordata; Lepidosauria; Squamata; Phrynosomatidae. The record is from the annotation of a GenBank genome assembly.